AUUGAACGCUGGCGGUAUGCUUUACACAUGCAAGUCGAACGGCAGCGCGGACUUCGGUCUGGCGGCGAGUGGCGAACGGGUGAGUAAGACAUCGGAACGUGCCUGAAAGUGGGGGACAACCAGUCGAAAGAUUGGCUAAUACCGCAUACGAUCUACGGAUGAAAGAGGGGGACCUUAGGGCCUCUUGCUUUUAGAGGAUGGACUUAUGGCGCAUUAGCUAGUUGGCAGGGUAAAGGCUUACCAAGGCGACGAUGCGUAGCCGACCUGAGAGGGUGACCGGCCACACUGGGACUGAGACACGGCCCAGACUCCUACGGGAGGCAGCAGUAGGGAAUUUUCGGCAAUGGGGGGAACCCUGACCGAGCAACGCCGCGUGAAGGAAGAAGGUUUUCGGAUUGUAAACUUCUGUUAUAAAGGAAGAACGGUACAUGGAGGGAAUGCCAUGUAAGUGACGGUACUUUAUGAGAAAGCCACGGCUAACUACGUGCCAGCAGCCGCGGUAACAC
Molecule: ribosomal RNA, 506 nt
Filed under: uncultured bacterium
Lineage: Bacteria
Description: bacterial SSU rRNA
Rfam family: Bacterial small subunit ribosomal RNA
Source: RNAcentral